CUAGUGUAGAGGUGAAAUUCGUAGAUAUUAGAAAGAAUACCAAUUGCGAAGGCAGCUUUCUGGAUCAUUACUGACACUGAGGAACGAAAGCAUGGGUAGCGAAGAGGAUUAGAUACCCUCGUAGUCCAUGCCGUAAACGAUGUGUGUUAGACGUUGGAAAUUUAUUUUCAGUGUCGCAGCGAAAGCGAUAAACACACCGCCUGGGGAGUACGACCGCAAGGUUAAAACUCAAAUGAAUUGACGGGGACCCGCACAAGUAGUGGAGCAUGUGGUUUAAUUCGAAGAUACGCGCAGAACCUUACCAACACUUGACAUGUUCGUCGCGACUUUGAGAGAUCAAAGUUUUCGGUUCGGCCGGACGAAACACAGGUGCUGCAUGGCUGUCGUCAGCUCGUGUCGUGAGAUGUUGGGUUAAGUCCCGCAACGAGCGCAACCCUCACUUUUAGUUGCCAUCAUUAAGUUGGGCACUCUGAAAGAACUGCCAGUGAUAAGCUGGAGGAAGGUGGGGAUGACGUCAAGUCCUCAUGGCCCUUACGUGUUGGGCUACACACGUGCUACAAUGGUAUCUACAACAGGAAGCAAGACUGCGAAGUUAAGCAAAUCCUUAAAAGAUACCUCAGUUCGGAUUGCACUCUGCAACUCGAGUGCAUGAAGCUGGAAUUACUAGUAAUCGUGGAUCAGCGUGCCACGGUGAAUGCGUUCCCGGGUCUUGUACACACCGCCCGUCACACCAUGGGAGUUGGUUCUACCUUAAGGCAAGGUUUCAAACCCUUGACCACGGUAUAGUCAGCGACUGGGGUGAAGUCGUAACAAGGUAGCCGUAGGGGAACCUGCGGCUG
Molecule: ribosomal RNA, 839 nt
Filed under: marine metagenome
Description: bacterial SSU rRNA
Rfam family: Bacterial small subunit ribosomal RNA
Source: RNAcentral